AGUUCAUUGUUCACUUUGUGGAAAACCUGGCCUUUCCACCUCCAAAAUCUCAUUCUCUCUCGGACUCCCACACUCUCCCAACAAUUAUUCUCUCUACUUCUUCUUCCAAGGUGCUAGAGCUCAGACAUCUAGCUACUUAAAAUUCUAAGGAAUAGAAAGAAGCCUCUGCAGUGGUGUGUCUGUUGCUCGUCAGUGUUUAAUAGAAAAGAACACGUGAAGAGUGGAGGAAUAUCAAGGGAUAGAAUCAAAUUAUCUAUUCGCAUUGCUUGAGACAUGAACUUUGGAAACCACCACCUUUCCAUUUUUAAUUCCAUGUGAUACAAAAAGUGGAAUUUAAUGUUACUAUGUUUUGUAAAAUUAUGCACAUGUCGGUUUUUUUACAAAAAUGAACCGAACUUUGGAAGUCAUAGUAGAUUCUUACCAAUGUUUGAUUUCUGUCAAAGUCCUUCAAUAACUCUUUACCAAUGUAGAAUUCUGACAAUCAAAUAAAAUUUUUAGUACUGAUCAAAUACUACAUGUAAUACUUACCAAUCCAA
Cucumis sativus (cucumber) is the source of this 536-nucleotide long non-coding RNA. RefSeq lists it as uncharacterized. The record is from RefSeq and is a predicted model, not a curated record. NCBI's taxonomy places the organism in Eukaryota, Viridiplantae, Streptophyta, Magnoliopsida, Cucurbitales, Cucurbitaceae. The transcript is spliced from 2 exons.